AACUUUCAACAAUGGAUCACUUUGUUCUGGCAUCGAUGAAGAACGCAGCGAAAUGCGAUAAGUAAUGUGAAUUGCAGAAUUUUGUGAAUCAUCGAAUCUUUGAACGCACAUUGCGCCCCUUGGUAUUCCGAGGGGCACACCUGUUCGAGCGCCGUUUUAAAACUAAGGCUCAGCCUUGCGUUGACCGUUCCGAAAUGGCGGAUUGGUCGAAAAAUAUAAAGACUCCAAAGUGGAAGCAGUACGCAACAGUAUUCGCGACCCCCAGAAAAGUCUUGAUUUACUCAGUAUGGCCUCGGAUCAGGUGGGGUUACCCGCUGAACUUAAGCAUAUCAAUAAGCGGAGGCU
RNAcentral lists this unclassified non-coding RNA (345 nucleotides) under uncultured Ascomycota. RNAcentral's name for it is "sequence contains ITS2". The stretch from base 1 to 154 matches the Rfam family "5.8S ribosomal RNA". The record is from RNAcentral. Lineage: Eukaryota; Fungi; Ascomycota.